Molecule: ribosomal RNA, 268 nt
Filed under: Staurosirella martyi
Lineage: Eukaryota; Bacillariophyta; Fragilariophyceae; Staurosirales; Staurosiraceae
Description: partial 28S ribosomal RNA
Source: RNAcentral
ACGGGAUUACAUUAGAGGAAAGAACUAACCAGGAUUCCCGUAGGACGUGGCUGUCUUGAGGGCAGCUGAGAGGGUGAGACUCCCGUCGUCGAGUGUUAUUGCAGCUCAAAGCGGGUGGUAAAUUCCAUCGAAAAAUAGGUGGGACCGUCAGAGGGGUCAUACUUCUCUGUCCGCUGCGUCAGGCGCUGCUUGUUUGGUCAGGCUUGCUUGUGAGUGGCGGAAAGGUGUUACGGAGUGAGGUUGGCAAAAUGGUUUCUACCCGUCGACA